UAUUAUACUAGAAAAUUUAUAAUAAAAGAAUUAAAUUAUUAUAAGAUAUAGUCUUUAAAUUUGAAGAAUUUGGCGGUAGUUUAGUCUUUCCAGAGGAACCUGUUUUGUAAUCGAUAAGCCACGAAUAAUCUUACUUAUCUAAGUUAAAAACCCUAAGUUUGUAUACCGUCAUUAUCAGAUAAUAUUUCAAGAUUUAUUAUUAAAAUUAAAAAAGCUAAAAAAAUUAGAUCAAGGUGCAGCCAAUAGAUAAGUUAAAAUGGGUUACAAUUAAGUAAAUAUAAAAAUGAAAUAAAAUUUGAAAUAAAUUUUAGGAAGGAGGAUUUGGUUGUAAUAGGAAUUAGUAAGACAAUAAGAUAAAAGCUCUAAAUUAU
Molecule: ribosomal RNA, 371 nt
Filed under: Rochinia gracilipes
Lineage: Eukaryota; Metazoa; Arthropoda; Malacostraca; Decapoda; Epialtidae
Description: partial small subunit ribosomal RNA
Source: RNAcentral